AGGACGAACGCUGGCGGCGUGCUUAACACAUGCAAGUCGAGCGGUAAGGCCUUUCGGGGUACACGAGCGGCGAACGGGUGAGUAACACGUGGGUGAUCUGCCCUGCACUUCGGGAUAAGCCUGGGAAACUGGGUCUAAUACCGGAUAUGACCUCAGGUUGCAUGACUUGGGGUGGAAAGAUUUAUCGGUGCAGGAUGGGCCCGCGGCCUAUCAGCUUGUUGGUGGGGUAAUGGCCUACCAAGGCGACGACGGGUAGCCGACCUGAGAGGGUGACCGGCCACACUGGGACUGAGACACGGCCCAGACUCCUACGGGAGGCAGCAGUGGGGAAUAUUGCACAAUGGGCGAAAGCCUGAUGCAGCGACGCCGCGUGAGGAUGACGGCUUCGGUGUAAACCUCUUCUAGCAGGACGAAGCGCAAGUGACGGUACCUGCAGAAGAAGCACGGACUAACUACGUGCCAGCAGCCGAC
Molecule: ribosomal RNA, 471 nt
Filed under: uncultured soil bacterium
Lineage: Bacteria
Description: bacterial SSU rRNA
Rfam family: Bacterial small subunit ribosomal RNA
Source: RNAcentral